This 481-nucleotide ribosomal RNA is filed under the name uncultured bacterium. RNAcentral describes it as "partial 16S ribosomal RNA". It matches the Rfam family "Bacterial small subunit ribosomal RNA", at positions 28 to 523 of the family's 1533-position model. The record is from RNAcentral.
GACGAACGCUGGCGGCGUGCUUAACACAUGCAAGUCGAACGCUGAAGCCCUUUCGGGGGUGGAUGAGUGGCGAACGGGUGAGUAACACGUGGGUAAUCUGCCCUGCACUCUGGGAUAAGCCUUGGAAACGGGGUCUAAUACCGGUUAGGACACAUCGCCGCAUGGGGAGUGUGUGGACAGUUCCGGCGGUGCAGGUUGAGCCCGCGGCCUCUCAGCUUGUUGGUGGGGGGGUGGCGUACCAAGGCGACGACGGGUAGCCGGCCUGAGAGGGUGACCGGACACACUGGGACUGAGACACGGCCCAGACUCCUACGGGAGGCAGCAGUGGGGAAUCUUGCGCAAUGGGCGAAAGCCUGACGCAGCAACGCCGCGUGGGGGAUGACGGCCUUCGGGUUGUAAACCUCUUUCGACCGGGACGAAGGGUGACUGACGGUACCGGUAGAAGAAGCACCGGCUAACUACGUGCCAGCAGCCGCCGUAA